AGAGCGAACGCUGGCGGCAGGCUUAACACAUGCAAGUCGAGCGGGCGUAGCAAUACGGCAGCGGCAGACGGGAGAGUAACACGUGGGAACGCGCCCUUCGGUUCGGAAUAACUCAGGGAAACUUGGGCUAAUACCGGAUACGCCCUUACGGGGAAAGAUUUAUUGCCGAAGGAACGGCCCGCGUCCGAUUAGCUUGUUGGUGAGGUAACGGCUCACCAAGGCGACGAUCGGUAGCUGGUCUGAGAGGAUGACCAGCCUCACUGGGACUGAGACACGGCCCAGACUCCUACGGGAGGCAGCAGUGGGGAAUAUUGCACAAUGGGCGCAAGCCUGAUGCAGCGACGCCGCGUGAGGGAUGGACGGUCCGUUCGGGUUGUAACCGUCUUUCACGUACCGAGAAGCGCAAGUGACGGUAGGUACGAGAAGAGCGACCGGCCGACUACGCGCCAGC
Molecule: ribosomal RNA, 451 nt
Filed under: uncultured bacterium
Lineage: Bacteria
Description: SSU rRNA
Rfam family: Bacterial small subunit ribosomal RNA
Source: RNAcentral